GGAGUGGGAGGGAUGCAGGGGGUGAAGGGUCCCGGGAGGAGCCGCCCGUCCUUAUUAUCUCGUCCUUAUUUAAACUAAAGCUUGUUUUGUUUGGAGAGGGCUUUUCUGUGGAGGGGGAGGCAAAGGCUGAAAAUAGAAGCCGGAGAGUUUCCUUCUGCCGGCACGCUGACCAUCCCGGUAAACUUUCCAUCUGAUGGAAUCGCUCGCUCCCAGUCUCCCUGCGGAUGGGGCCAUCGACGCUUUCUGCUAAACGCACAAACAGCCUGGCUGGGUCUCGGGCAGCGGUGGGCCCUUGCUGGUCUCAGCACCCCGUGCCAGUGCUGCUAGCCACACUGGUGUCUUUGGUGGCCAUUGGUGCUGGGUUAGGCAAGUUGGUGCAAGGCAGGUGCCGUGGUCGCUGCCUGCGGUCUGCGGUGCACCCAGCUUGCUGCGGCAGGCUCCCGCGUGAGCCUGGUCCCAGGCUGUGGCAAAGCUGUCGGCUCGGUUUUUAAGACUGUACAAUGGCAUCAUUUGUACAGAGUGUCUUGUGGGCAUGUGGACGGUGACAGGUUGUGUAAGCACUUGUUUGGGUUUUCUGGCCAUGCUGCGGUGCUGUAGCAGGGACACGCUGUCUGUCUGCCCGCGCUGGUGGAGAACACAGAGCUCUGGUGGAGAAGGAAAACACGAUUCCCUAAAGCUGCAGGGUCGCUGCUGCUCUUUUGUGUUAUGUUAGCAGGGUAAAGGAAUAAUGGGCUUAUCCUCACGCCAGCCAGUGUUUGGGUUUGGCAGCUGGCGGGCACCGCAGUCGUCUGGCCGAGCAGCAUGCCCCAGGUAGAUGAGGGAUGCCCCACUGACGCACCGAUGGCUCACGCUCGGGGUGCACGGCAGGCAGAGAGCGGGUGUCUGGCCCUCAUCUCGAGUCCCCAUGACUCAGCAGCAACGUCUGCCACCAAAACAACGUUGCAUGAGGUCACAGCCAGGAAAGAUCCUGAAGGAGAAGCGCAUGGCAGCGGGUCUGUGCCGGGGGUGUGCAGAUGUGGGCUUCGGCUGCGCUGAAGCAUGUGGGGCGAGAGGGGAACGGCUCCAGGCUAGGGGAGGGCAGGACGUGGGCAGGGGAUGCCAGCCUCCUCUUGCAUGCCAGAAGCGAAGCUGUGGCACGCACAACACCCGUGUGCGCGGAUCUCUUGCUGUUUGUGCUGGCAGUCGUGUUCAGUCGCCGAGGAUCCCUCACAACACCAAACCAAGGCGGGGGUGCUUGGGAAGCUCGCCAUGCUCCUGGCCAUGGGCGAACCAUAGCGGCAGCCCAGCUGCAGCCCACAUGCUGCGUGCUGACUUGCCCGGCCCUAACCCCUGGGCUGGCACGGCUGCGUGGCGGAUGCCUGGUAGCCACCACCGGCACAGGCAGUGCCCCAGCGCUCGCUGCCGGAGGGAGCCCGGAUUAUCCGGGGGCAGCUCUGAACUUGUAAUCUGUGGUCUGAAGUUAGCAGUUGCUCUGAGGGAGACAGUAAAUGGAGCAAAAGGAGGAGAAGGGCUGUUCCUUCCCAGCGAGCAGCAAACAACCUGUGUUGGCAGAUGCCAAACCAGAGCCUUCCGUGCCAGAUUCAGAUGGGACGCAGCAGUGCCAUUUGCCAUGGGGCCUGGGGCAUGCCGGAGAGGCAAUAGCACAUUCGGAGAUGGAAACCAAGUGCCAGGUUCCCAUCUGUGAGCCAGAUGGAAAAGAAGGAUACUUGUUUUGUUUUAAAAUUGUCAUGGACAUUUAGAAAAAAUGCUGAAUUUGGUUUUAAAACAAGGAAAACAGUCGCUGAUGAAACCCUGAAAAGAAGCAGUCUAGUUAAACUUGAGAUGAUUAUUUUUGUACCCGUUUUUCUCUGUAUUAGGAAAGACAAGCCAGGACAUGCCUUCAGAAAAGCUCAGUGAAAAAACAUCUUCAGUUUAAGGACUCAAUUGAGGAGCAAAACUUGAUGGUACAGGAUUAAGCGCUGGAGGUUGUAUUUGACUUGUGCAGUUGCAUCAAAUCUUAUUACCGCUGCUUGAAAGGAACAGGCUGGGUGAUGCCAGCUCAGCACCGGUGUUACUUGGUCUGCAGGGACAUGUUAAACCCUGGGAACAGAGGAUCCCAGACUCAGUCAUCUGCUCGGUCUUAAAACAGAGAUGAUGGCGGAAAAGUGAAUGUGUGCACAGCGCAGGUGAAAAACGUGAUCAUCGGGCCAGGGUGAUAAGAAUGAGUCUAUAACAAUGCUGAGAUCUGACCAUAAUUAGAAGUUCAAGCAUGAGCACCAGUUUCGCUCUCGGGAGCGGCGCGUUAGCGUCCAGUUAAUUCCCUCGAGCCAGGUUGCCUUCCAGCACCUUUCCCCUGCUCCCCGGGGACGCGCUCACUGGGCUGCUCCCUAUCACCAAGGCACAGCACGUACCCCAGGCACCACUGCGAGACCCCUGCAAAGGGCAGGAUGAGUCCCGAAGGCUUUGCUGGGGCUCCUCGCCUCUUGCCUGUGUUACCCUGAUCAGACCUCUGUCCCAGCCCUGGCACCGACUUCACUGAGAAGGCAGAAACCAGAAGUUUUGGGACUGGCAGAGGACUAGCAUCCUUGAACAUACCACAGCCCCGCCGACCCGUGUGCUCCCAUCCACCUUAUCAUACACAGCGAAGAUAAACACGGGUGCACACCCAGGCCAGCCCACGCCUCACCACCUCUCCCUUCCCAGCAGGGACAAGAAAAUAUUUUGCAGAAAUGCCAGCCGUAGGUUUUAGGGGUUUUUUUGUUCUUAAUCAGAUUUAAGAAUUGGAGGCAUGUUUCAGUCCUCAAAUCUCCAUGUUCCCGUGUUAAAGACCCUGUGUGUGUUUCUCGGGAAGAGGCACAGGCUGUGUUUUUAAUCUCGAUUCAUCUCUUUUUGUCGCAGAGCUGGUGGUACUUUGCAAGCCGGGCAAAGGGCAGAGGUACCCGGCUCCCCACCGCUGGCAACGUACCUUCAUUCUGCCUGAAAUUAGGCAUUGGUUGCAUCGCUUUCCUAAAUUGUAGUCCAGAGCAAACUGCAUCGAACCACACCACAUCCCCCCUUGCUUUGGGGUUUACUUCUGCUUGUUCGACAGCAGCAGCGGAGCCCGGCGGUGCUGUUUGGUUUGAUGUUGGCAGGCGCAGCGCUGUCAGAUGGCAUCUGGGUCUCUUUGUAAUGCAAGAGUUGCUCCUUUUUGUUGCCUGCAGCUGAGCUGAGGAGCCCGAGCAGCCCAGAGCGGCGGUUUCUGGUCCAUCACCCUGCCUUUGCCUGGGCUCCGCACCGCUUGCCGAGACAG
This is a long non-coding RNA of Grus americana (Whooping crane), 3268 nucleotides long. RefSeq lists it as uncharacterized. The record is from RefSeq and is a predicted model, not a curated record. NCBI's taxonomy places the organism in Eukaryota, Metazoa, Chordata, Aves, Gruiformes, Gruidae. The transcript is spliced from 3 exons.